CGAUUUUUAAUAUGUACCGCUUAGACUAAUACGCCAUUAUCUAUAUUGCCUAAAUGAUAAAGCCCUGCACUUCAACCUUAGAUCUUCGAAGAGUAUUAUUUAGAUCACUUUUUAUUUCAUAUUUAUUACGAAUUGUUUUUUGACCCGAUUGCAACCUUGGCCGCAUAAUUUGUUACUAAGCGAAAGCAUUUUGUUUAUAUAAUUAACAACUUUUGUUGAUGUAUUGCUCCAUAUGGAAAUUAUUUAUUAUAUAAAGCAGGCAAUUUUUGGGAGAUUUUGAUCGCCAUUAUAAAUACCGAAAAUAUUGUAAUUGAAGGAAACUGAACGCUUACAGAUGAUUGCAAUGAGAGCCGUUUUGUGUCUAUUAGUUUGUUUGGUUUUAGUAGCGGCCACACCAGCUACACUUCAUAAUAACAACGAUGAAAAGACAUACCUGCGUAACUGCUACGGCUUUGAAUGCCCAAAGGGUACAGUGACCUGCAGCGUAGACAGCGUAGCGACAGAUGACUGGAUGACAGACACAAUACGCUGCAAGAGUAAAAAUCAUGCAGUCCUCAACUCGUUCACCAAAACCUACCCACUUCCGAAUUGUGAUGAUAGAACGACUACGAAUUGUAGAAUAGUAAAAUAAAGCAAUGACAGCUUU
RNA transcript from Photinus pyralis (common eastern firefly), 646 nucleotides. RefSeq lists it as uncharacterized. Lineage: Eukaryota; Metazoa; Arthropoda; Insecta; Coleoptera; Lampyridae. The transcript has 4 exons. The record is from RefSeq and is a predicted model, not a curated record.